UAAUGGCAGGUCAGCAUACUGCCGUGAAUACGUUCCCGGGCCUUGUACACACCGCCUGUCACACCAUGAGAGUUGGAGAUACCCGAAGCCUGUGAGCUAACUUUUAGAGGCAGCAGUCGAAGGUAGAAUCAAUGAUUGGGGUGAAGUCGUAACAAGGUACC
This 161-nucleotide ribosomal RNA is filed under the name uncultured bacterium. RNAcentral's name for it is "partial 16S ribosomal RNA". It matches the Rfam family "Bacterial small subunit ribosomal RNA", at positions 1339 to 1500 of the family's 1533-position model. The record is from RNAcentral.